Molecule: ribosomal RNA, 215 nt
Filed under: uncultured Flavobacterium sp.
Lineage: Bacteria; Pseudomonadati; Bacteroidota; Flavobacteriia; Flavobacteriales; Flavobacteriaceae
Description: partial 16S ribosomal RNA
Rfam family: Bacterial small subunit ribosomal RNA
Source: RNAcentral
UACGGAGGAUCCAAGCGUUAUCCGGAAUCAUUGGGUUUAAAGGGUCCGUAGGCGGUUUAAUAAGUCAGUGGUGAAAGCCCAUCGCUCAACGGUGGAACGGCCAUUGAUACUGUUAGACUUGAAUUAUUAGGAAGUAACUAGAAUAUGUAGUGUAGCGGUGAAAUGCUUAGAGAUUACAUGGAAUACCAAUUGCGAAGGCAGGUUACUACUAAUUG